UCAGCUUGUAAGAGGUGGAUGCUCGACGC
Molecule: small RNA, 29 nt
Filed under: Bombyx mori (domestic silkworm)
Lineage: Eukaryota; Metazoa; Arthropoda; Insecta; Lepidoptera; Bombycidae
Description: piRNA piR-bmo-2100397
Source: RNAcentral